This 458-nucleotide long non-coding RNA is filed under the name Theropithecus gelada (gelada). RNAcentral describes it as "lncRNA (ENSTGEG00000008732.1)". Lineage: Eukaryota; Metazoa; Chordata; Mammalia; Primates; Cercopithecidae. The record is from RNAcentral.
GGGUGCCCCCUGAGGAUGAUGAGUACUCCGAAUACUCCGAGUAUUCCGUGGAGGAGUACCAGGACCCUGAAGCCCCUUGGGAUAGCGAUGACCCCUGUUCCCUGCCGCUGGAUGAGGGCUCCUGUACUGCCUACACCCUGCGCUGGUACCAUCGGGCUGUACCAGGCAGCACAGAGGCCUGUCACCCUUUUGUCUAUGGCGGCUGUGGAGGGAAUGCCAACCGUUUUGGGACCCGUGAGGCCUGUGAGCGCCGCUGCCCACCCCGAGUGGCCCAGAGCCAGGGGAUAGGUGCUACCCAGGACUGAGGCCCAGAUGAUGAGCUGAGAUUCAGCAUCCCCUAGAGGAGUCAGGGUCUCAGCAGAACCCGCUGUCCCUCCCCUUGGUGCUAGAGGCUUGUGUGCACGUGAGCGUGCGUGUGCAUGUCUGUUAUUUCAGUGACUUGGUCCCGUGGGUCUGGC